CAGAGCUGACGUUGCUGUGGCUGUGGCAUAGCCCAGUGACUACAGCUCCACUUCAACCCCUUACCUGGGAACUUCCAUAUGCCACGGGUGUGGCCCUAAAAAAAAGACAAAAAAAAAAAAGAAUAAUUAUUUUGAUAUCAUUACCACUCCUAUUAUUUAUUUCAAGGUUGCAGAAGUGGAACUAGUUCAAUAUUUAAUAAUCCAACAUUUUAUAUGUAUUCUAUAAUAUUAUACUUGAGUAUGGGUUUUAGAUGCUCUGUGUUCUUUCUGGGACAAUUUAAAUCUGUGCUUCACUGUUUUACAUGAAAUUGUGUAUGUGUUAUAAAUCUUUUAUUUGGGUUUUGGAAGUUUUAAUAAUUGGCAUAUCAUGGAAAUAUUUUUGUUACAUUUUAAAUUAUGAUAUAUAAACAUACAGAAAAGCAAGAUGAAACAUAUUAAUCAUAUUACCAUAUAUAUUUGAGAUUACUGAAUAUUCCAUCAAUUUGCAGAACAUAAUUUAAGUACCAUUUGCAACAAUAUGUACAAGUGACUAAAAUCCAACAAAAGACAUGUAGGAAAAAAUUAUACAACUUUAUUGAAAAACCUAAGAGCUAACUAAAUGGAGAGGUACUAUACUUUUGAAUGGGAAAGCCUAAGAAUAGAAAUUCUCCCCAAAUAAAUCUGAUAAGUUCAGUAAUACAAUUCUGAUCAAAAUCUCAAGUAGUAAUUUUUACAGUAUCAGACACUCUCAUUUUAAAAUUGAUAUUCAAGCUUGAGGGGCAAAAGAGUCAAAUGAUUCUGAAGAACAAUUUAGGUGAACUUAUCCACCACAUAUGAAGAUUUAUACUCUGCCACAGAAAGCAGUAGUAGUUAAGUACUGCGAUAAUGACCCCAGUAAACAAACUAACUACCUUAUCACCCUUGUUUCUUAACUCCUCUUUGUGUACAACUACAAGCUGGCCAAACUGAACUAUACAUGCCAACAUUCAUGCCUUGGGAAUUCUAGUCCUAUGCCUUUGGUGUUUCUGCUGUCUACAGAAUUCCCUUCAUCCUUGUCUCCUGUACUUCACUGAACCUAAGGUGCAUUAUUAUUUAUGUACAAGAAAAAAUGUUGCCAUUUAAGUUGCCACGUCAUCACUGCCGGAUACCUUGUGUUUCAGAGAUCAUGGAGUUCCCGUCGUGGCGCAGUGGUUAACGAAUCCGACUAGGAACCAUGAGGUUGCGGGUUCGGUCCCUGCCCUUGCUCAGUGGGUUAAUGAUCUGGCGUUGCCGUGAGCUGUGGUGUAGGUUGCAGACGCGGCUCGGAUCCCGCGUUGCUGUGGCUCUGGCGUAGGCCUGUGCCUCAGCUCCGAUUAGACCCCUAGCCUGGGAACCUCCAUAUGCCGCGGGAGCGGCCCAAAGAAAUAGC
RNAcentral lists this long non-coding RNA (1387 nucleotides) under Sus scrofa (pig). RNAcentral's name for it is "lncRNA (ENSSSCG00015042535.1)". The record is from RNAcentral. Lineage: Eukaryota; Metazoa; Chordata; Mammalia; Artiodactyla; Suidae.